RNAcentral lists this ribosomal RNA (503 nucleotides) under uncultured bacterium. RNAcentral's name for it is "bacterial SSU rRNA". It matches the Rfam family "Bacterial small subunit ribosomal RNA", at positions 28 to 517 of the family's 1533-position model. The record is from RNAcentral.
GAUGAACGCUAGCUACAGGCUUAACACAUGCAAGUCGAGGGGAAACGAUAGAGAAAGCUUGCUUUUUCUAGGCGUCGACCGGCGCACGGGUGAGUAACGCGUAUCCAACCUGCCCACCACUUGGGGAUAACCUUGCGAAAGUAAGACUAAUACCCAAUGACGUCUCUAGAAGACAUCUGAAAGAGAUUAAAGAUUUAUCGGUGAUGGAUGGGGAUGCGUCUGAUUAGCUUGUUGGCGGGGUAACGGCCCACCAAGGCGACGAUCAGUAGGGGUUCUGAGAGGAAGGCCCCCCCACAUUGGAACUGAGACACGGUCCAAACUCCUACGGGAGGCAGCAGUGAGGAAUAUUGGUCAAUGGACGAGAGUCUGAACCAGCCAAGUAGCGUGCAGGAUGACGGCCCUAUGGGUUGUAAACUGCUUUUAUAAGGGAAUAAAGUGAGUCUCGUGAGACUUUUUGCAUGUACCUUAUGAAUAAGGACCGGCUAAUUCCGUGCCAGCAGCCG